UACACCAAUCACAAUUAAAUUGCUUCAUCAAAAUGGGCCUCUAGAGUUUACCUAGCGUCGAAGAGAUUGAGGACUUAGCGUUUUUUAACAAAAAAAUCUUUCGGAAUACAUAGGGUUAUGACCUCUUUAUUAUAAUACUUUGACAAACUAUAUUCGCUAAAUCUUUCUUCCUUUAUUCAAGCUUUGAGUAAAAGUAAUGCGAGUUUCUGCUACUUUUCAAGGAUAACACUUUAAAUUUUAGAUUGGCUCGGAAAAUAUUUCGCUCAAACCACACUUCUUUCACUGGUAAGGUCUCAACGUUUAUAUAAGUUUGUUGCCAAUUGUAAAUAAGAGUUUAGACAAUGCUACAAGUAUAAAACAAUGCAUAAGCCCUGAUGAGGAACUCAAGCGAGUAUCGACUCAACGGCAAUAAAGAUUAUUUUAAGAACU
This is a non-coding RNA of Schizosaccharomyces pombe (fission yeast), 429 nucleotides long. Lineage: Eukaryota; Fungi; Ascomycota; Schizosaccharomycetes; Schizosaccharomycetales; Schizosaccharomycetaceae. The record is from the annotation of a GenBank genome assembly.